GAUGAACGCUAGCUACAGGCUUAACACAUGCAAGUCGCGGGGCAGCAUGGGGGUUGCUUGCAAUCCCCGAUGGCGACCGGCGCACGGGUGAGUAACGCGUAUCCAACCUGCCCUUCACCACGGGAUAACCCGGCGAAAGUCGGACUAAUACCGUAUGUUGUCCAUUGACGGCAUCCGAUUUGGACGAAAGGUUUGGCGGGGAAGGAUGGGGAUGCGUCCGAUUAGCUGGACGGCGGGGUGACGGCCCACCGUGGCGACGAUCGGUAGGGGUUCUGAGAGGAAGGUCCCCCACACUGGAACUGAGACACGGUCCAGACUACUACGGGAGGCAGCAGUGAGGAAUAUUGGUCAAUGGGCGUAAGCCUGAACCAGCCAAGUAGCGUGCAGGAUGACGGCCCUAUGGGUGGUAAACUGCUUUUAUGCGGGGAUAAAGUGGCCCCCGUGUGGGUUUUUGCAGGUACCGCAUGAAUAAGGACCGGCUAAUUCCGUG
RNAcentral lists this ribosomal RNA (490 nucleotides) under uncultured bacterium. RNAcentral's name for it is "partial 16S ribosomal RNA". It matches the Rfam family "Bacterial small subunit ribosomal RNA", at positions 28 to 507 of the family's 1533-position model. The record is from RNAcentral.